This 253-nucleotide ribosomal RNA is filed under the name uncultured bacterium. Its description in RNAcentral is "partial 16S ribosomal RNA". It matches the Rfam family "Bacterial small subunit ribosomal RNA", at positions 524 to 776 of the family's 1533-position model. The record is from RNAcentral.
GACGUAGGAUGCAAGCGUUGUCCGGAUUUAUUGGGCGUAAAGAGUUCGUAGGUGGUAAUUCAAGUCUAAUGUGAAAUUAUAGAGCUUAACUCUAUUCCCGCAUUGGAAACUGAAUUACUAGAGCAAGGUAGGGGUCAGAAGAAUUCCUGGUGUAGCGGUGAAAUGCGUAGAUAUCAGGAGGAACACCGGUGGCGAAAGCGUCUGACUGGACCUUUGCUGACACUGAGGAACGAGAGCCAGGGGAGCGAAAGGG